ACUUUGGAGCUGAAGAGCUGGUAUGAAUGCAUGAUCACAGAGUGACAACAGGCCUUCAAUAAAAUCACAUACUGUCCCCAGUACCAGCUGCUCUAGUUAACUUUCAGGGCUCUUUUCAAGAACCGGAUGAGAUGGCUGUGUGAAUGCCUUGGAAACAUGAGCUACACAUGAGUUAUACAAUUUAUACAAGAGGUGAAAUAAUUCAAUCUUCUUAAGCUGAAAUACAUUUGGAAACCCACUUCCAAACCGAAGGCUCUAAUUUCUCAAAGGAAUUCAGUGAUUCCCUGUAUGCUGAAAUUAGAAAAAAAAUAUGGAUUAUAAACACAAGACAUGUUGAGGAUACAAUUGGAAGAGGUUCUCCUUAUGUGUUUCCCUCUGUCAA
This 382-nucleotide long non-coding RNA is filed under the name Bos taurus (domestic cattle). Its description in RNAcentral is "long non-coding RNA NONBTAT015963". Lineage: Eukaryota; Metazoa; Chordata; Mammalia; Artiodactyla; Bovidae. The record is from RNAcentral.